CGCGCUCUUGCGCAACCGGGCGAUGCGGUGCUGUUGUCACCGGCCUGCGCCAGUUUCGACAUGUUCAAGAACUAUGAAGAGCGCGG
This 86-nucleotide transfer RNA is filed under the name Pseudomonas sp. St316. RNAcentral describes it as "tRNA-Asp". The record is from RNAcentral. Lineage: Bacteria; Pseudomonadati; Pseudomonadota; Gammaproteobacteria; Pseudomonadales; Pseudomonadaceae.